CAGGUCCAAGGCCCAGCGUCUGGAGGAGCAGCAGCUGGACAUCGAGGGCGAGCUGCGCCGGCUCAUGGCCAAGCCCGGUGUUUCCCCCCGGGCCGGCCUGCCGUGACGAUCACAGCCCUGCCGUCUCAGGUCACGGUUUUGGAUUCUGCGCUAACGAGGUCUCCCAGGUGGGCUGGAAACACUGAUGAAGACGGAUAGAAAAAACACCAGCCCACCGGAUUAUUAAUAAAGAUAAUCACACACACCCCUUCGUCGGCAGCCGGCCUGACACUUUAUAAAGCACGUUAGGAUAUAAUCCAAUUGAAACUGCAAUAUCGAGAACAUCUCAUCUUAUCACAAAUUGAAAUUAUAUCACAUUCCUCUUUUCUUAAAUUAAAAAGCUAAAACCUUUUCGUUUGCUCUCA
RNAcentral lists this long non-coding RNA (404 nucleotides) under Homo sapiens (human). RNAcentral describes it as "non-protein coding lnc-MICALL2-1:8". The record is from RNAcentral. Lineage: Eukaryota; Metazoa; Chordata; Mammalia; Primates; Hominidae.